This 397-nucleotide long non-coding RNA is filed under the name Mustela putorius furo (domestic ferret). RNAcentral's name for it is "lncRNA (ENSMPUG00000027047.1)". Lineage: Eukaryota; Metazoa; Chordata; Mammalia; Carnivora; Mustelidae. The record is from RNAcentral.
CAAGGCACCUUGCAGGAAAAAAGAGGGCAUUUUCAGAGAGGAGACACAGCGAGGUCCAGUGGGAGUGAUGCACCCUGCAGUCGGAGACUGAGACAAAUAUGGGAUCUGAGCACCAGGCCAGUCAGGAAGCUGGACACGGAAGCAACCAGGAGUUGGGAGAAGAUGGUUCUAAACCCUCUCUCUCACCCCACCCUGCCUGAGUCUGCAUGUCGCCAGCCUGGUAAACGGAGGUGUUUGUGCCUUCAGUGUUCUGCAGAUGACUCUGGCCUCCUACCUCUCAGCUGUGGCAGACAUAGGAAAGUGACACCCAGGCCCCUCUUCCAGGGUCAGCAGAGCACCCUCACAGAAACCACCAUCCGACCUUCUGUCUCGAUGAAUGUGAUAACAUGAGGUGUCU